Molecule: unclassified non-coding RNA, 424 nt
Filed under: soil metagenome
Description: partial contains 5.8S ribosomal RNA, internal transcribed spacer 2, and large subunit ribosomal RNA
Rfam family: 5.8S ribosomal RNA (bases 1-120)
Source: RNAcentral
GAUGAAGAACGCAUCGAAAUGCGAUACGUAAUGUGAAUUGCAGAAUUCAGUGAAUCAUCGAAUCUUUGAACGCAUAUUGCGCUCUCUGGUAUUCCGGAGAGCAUGCUUGUUUGAGUAUCAGUAAACACCUCAACUCCCUUUCUUCUUGAAAUGGAGCUGGACUUGAGUGAUCCCAACGCUUUAUUCAUAAAGUGGCGGGUUACUUGAAAUGCAGGUGCAGCUGGACUUUUCUCUGAGCUAUAAGCAUAUCUAUUUAGUCUGCCUCAAAACAGAUUAUUACCUUUGCUGCAGCUAACAUAAAGGAGAUUAGUUCUUGUGCUGACUGAUGCAGGAUUCACAAAGACCGCUUCGGCUGUCUUUGUAAACUCGAUCUCAAAUCAAGUAAGACUACCCGCUGAACUUAAGCAUAUCAAUAAGCGGAGGA